This 1486-nucleotide ribosomal RNA is filed under the name metagenome. RNAcentral describes it as "bacterial SSU rRNA". It matches the Rfam family "Bacterial small subunit ribosomal RNA". The record is from RNAcentral.
AGAGUUUGAUCCUGGCUCAGGAUGAACGCUAGCUACAGGCUUAACACAUGCAAGUCGAGGGGCAGCAUGGUCUUAGCUUGCUAAGGCCGAUGGCGACCGGCGCACGGGUGAGUAACACGUAUCCAACCUGCCGUCUACUCUUGGACAGCCUUCUGAAAGGAAGAUUAAUACAAGAUGGCAUCAUGAGUCCGCAUGUUCACAUGAUUAAAGGUAUUCCGGUAGACGAUGGGGAUGCGUUCCAUUAGAUAGUAGGCGGGGUAACGGCCCACCUAGUCUUCGAUGGAUAGGGGUUCUGAGAGGAAGGUCCCCCACAUUGGAACUGAGACACGGUCCAAACUCCUACGGGAGGCAGCAGUGAGGAAUAUUGGUCAAUGGGCGAGAGCCUGAACCAGCCAAGUAGCGUGAAGGAUGACUGCCCUAUGGGUUGUAAACUUCUUUUAUAAAGGAAUAAAGUCGGGUAUGCAUACCCGUUUGCAUGUACUUUAUGAAUAAGGAUCGGCUAACUCCGUGCCAGCAGCCGCGGUAAUACGGAGGAUCCGAGCGUUAUCCGGAUUUAUUGGGUUUAAAGGGAGCGUAGAUGGAUGUUUAAGUCAGUUGUGAAAGUUUGCGGCUCAACCGUAAAAUUGCAGUUGAUACUGGAUAUCUUGAGUGCAGUUGAGGCAGGCGGAAUUCGUGGUGUAGCGGUGAAAUGCUUAGAUAUCACGAAGAACUCCGAUUGCGAAGGCAGCCUGCUAAGCUGCAACUGACAUUGAGGCUCGAAAGUGUGGGUAUCAAACAGGAUUAGAUACCCUGGUAGUCCACACGGUAAACGAUGAAUACUCGCUGUUUGCGAUAUACAGCAAGCGGCCAAGCGAAAGCGUUAAGUAUUCCACCUGGGGAGUACGCCGGCAACGGUGAAACUCAAAGGAAUUGACGGGGGCCCGCACAAGCGGAGGAACAUGUGGUUUAAUUCGAUGAUACGCGAGGAACCUUACCCGGGCUUAAAUUGCAGAUGAAUUACGGUGAAAGCCGUAAGCCGCAAGGCAUCUGUGAAGGUGCUGCAUGGUUGUCGUCAGCUCGUGCCGUGAGGUGUCGGCUUAAGUGCCAUAACGAGCGCAACCCUUGUUGUCAGUUACUAACAGGUUCUGCUGAGGACUCUGACAAGACUGCCAUCGUAAGAUGUGAGGAAGGUGGGGAUGACGUCAAAUCAGCACGGCCCUUACGUCCGGGGCUACACACGUGUUACAAUGGGGGGUACAGAGGGCCGCUACCACGCGAGUGGAUGCCAAUCCCCAAAACCUCUCUCAGUUCGGACUGGAGUCUGCAACCCGACUCCACGAAGCUGGAUUCGCUAGUAAUCGCGCAUCAGCCACGGCGCGGUGAAUACGUUCCCGGGCCUUGUACACACCGCCCGUCAAGCCAUGGGAGCCGGGGGUACCUGAAGUGCGUAACCGCGAGGAGCGCCCUAGGGUAAAACUGGUGACUGGGGCUAAGUCGGAACAAGGUA